Long non-coding RNA from Uranotaenia lowii, 1089 nucleotides. RefSeq lists it as uncharacterized. The transcript has 3 exons. The record is from RefSeq and is a predicted model, not a curated record. NCBI's taxonomy places the organism in Eukaryota, Metazoa, Arthropoda, Insecta, Diptera, Culicidae.
ACAGUUCUUCGCGAGCCGUUCCGUCGAUAACACGUGCGUGCAUUUCCUCCGGAAGUUCGUCGCGCGCCUUCGGUGAUCCUUCUCGAGUAGAGUGUGGUGUCCUUUCUGGUCGGUUCUGUGGGUUUUUUCUUCCACCCAUCAUUGGUCGGUCUGUCGCGGGAAAAGUCAAGCCAGUGGAAAAUACCAUUACCUCCUCCUGGUGGUGGAUCUCUCAUUGCGGAUUACUCCUCUUGAAAUGUGACACUUGCUGCUGGAUAGAAUUUCACUCGCGCGCGUUGAAACUUCUGUGCAUCGGUUGAAUGGCACCAACAAUAAUGUUCUGUGUAGUGGCUUCCAGUGAAUAAAAUGGCAACAAAUCACAAAUAACCUCCACCGUGUCUGUCUGCCGCCAUUUUCCAACCUCCCAAGGUGAGGUGGAGCAAUCCAUUUUGUUUUUUUUCUUCUGCUGCAACACGCCGCCGAAUGGGUGAGUGACAAAUGGGACAGUGGACGCCAUUUCUCCAAACCAAUUAGGAACAAACAAUCCUCGGUCUUGUGGUCAUCAAACAAAACCUGAACGAGCGCAAAAUUUUUGUGUAGGUAUCCUCGUGGACGUCCUCUUGGUGCAAAGUUGCUGCUGAUUAAAAAUCUUGGCUGGAGUGCUGAGCAGCUUAACCAAGUGGAAAAUCGUUGCACACAAAUAGUGGGUGGAAAAACUAACGACGAGCAAAUAAAGAAAAACUAACUGUGUGUGCGGGUGUGGAAAAUUUGUGUGCUUGAAGAGGAUACGGAAAAAAAAUCCUAACAGAAAGCAAACGCGGGAAGAAAACCUUACUAGGGUGGUGCGAAAAAAGGGUCUCCCGGGCUAGAUCAGGGUGGCGGACCACGUUAACGGGAGCACAUUUCCGCCGGAUCUCUACGAGGCAUUCGCGGACAACGCCGAGCUAGAAUGUCUGCUGCAGGCACACCUGGAUGCACAAGCCGAGAUUCCAUUCGAUGGCUGCUCGGCGCACUUUGACAAGAUCCUGUGCUGGCCGAAAACUCCACGCGGUACCUGGGCAGUUCUUCCGUGCUUCGAAGAAUUCAAGGGCGUCCAUUAUGACGUUACAC